UGGCGACCGGCGCACGGGUGAGUAACGCGUAUGCAACUUACCUAUCAGGAGGGGAUAGCCCGGCGAAAGUCGGAUUAAUACCCCAUGAAACAGGGGUCCCGCAUGGGAAUAUUUGUUAAAGAUUCAUCGCUGAUAGAUAGGCAUGCGUUCCAUUAGGCAGUUGGCGGGGUAACGGCCCACCAAACCGACGAUGGAUAGGGGUUCUGAGAGGAAGGUCCCCCACAUUGGUACUGAGACACGGACCAA
This 246-nucleotide ribosomal RNA is filed under the name uncultured bacterium. RNAcentral describes it as "partial 16S ribosomal RNA". It matches the Rfam family "Bacterial small subunit ribosomal RNA", at positions 89 to 334 of the family's 1533-position model. The record is from RNAcentral.